UUUUUUUUUGUGAUCUCUUGAUGUGAUCGAUCCUGUGGGCGAGUUCCAACAACGGUCACCACUGACUCCGAUCUACCACCGUCCAGUGCAGCACUAAAAUCUCAUCACUGGGUUCAUGAUCAGUGAGGGACGUGGGCAUUAUUUUGGUCUUCUGCCAUUCGAUGGCGCAUUUUAGUAUCUGCACUGCAGAGGUGAGAGUACAAAAUAACAGUUGUGAGGAACACAUGGAUCAGUGUGGCUCUAUUGGUUUAUUAAGAUUUGUAAUUUUGGUGUGUGUUUUGUAUACGAAGUUGUUGUGGAUCAAGUAAUUUAAUCAAGUCCAUUUGAGUCAAUGGAAUUACCGAACGUGUUGUCUUCUUUUUGGCUUGAUCUUGUUCUACUGUGUGUGCUCUGGAUUGACCUUCUUAGGCUUGUUUCUGUGGUGUAGAGAGCCAGGUUUGUCUAUUACUUGUGCUGGUGGCUUUGGCUAUAGGUUGGUGAGUUUAAAGACUGAUGUUUGCUCUUUAGGCCUGGUUUGGCUAUGGUCUGGUUGCCUGCGUGUAGUUCAUGUUUUUCCUAAUGUUUUAGGGUUGCUUUUACUUUCAGUGUUAUUUUCUCUAGUUCAUGUAAUAAGCAGCAGGCAUGUUGCAUGCCAGCGCCACGAGGCAAUGCCAGAAGCGCUAUUCGGCUACAGCAUCACAGCCAAAGGGCGUCCAUCGUGAAGGCAACAAUUAUAUGAAGCAUCACUUCCUGUAGGUCAGGUAGCAUAAUAUUUCAAACAAUGGAAGUAAAUGCAUACAAACUACUCCCUCCGUCCCAUACUGUGUAAAAAACGCUCUUAUAUUACGAGACGGAGGGAGUACAUUAUAUCCCUAACAAAUAAGAGGCAAAAUAGACAGGUGUGGUAAUGUGCGCCAUCAAUGAUGUAGUACACUCUAGAACAGUUGGACAAUUACUAAGUUUAACAAUCAUAUUUUCUGAACCUAUAUUAGGAUAUUUGUUUAACUAAUGAAGUAGAAUCCAUUAUGAAGAUAUUUAUAUAUGUCGUGCACACACACACACACACACACACACACACACACACACACACACCAUAAUUUAUUACCUUUUUUACAUUUGUUUAUGAUUUGUUAUAAGUUGAAUCAAUUCUACAAUAUGCCUCAAACUAAAAUUUGAACAAAAAGGAGACAAUUGCAUGAUUAAUUUUAUCCCAGAUUUUUAAAAGAUUGACAUGUGAUUUUAUAACAAUAAAUUUUGAUUAUUUUACAUACCUACUCGUUUGUGUGAAUAAUAUUGCUAGAUACAAUUGAAACAAAUAGUGUUGAUCAUUGUAUGGCAUAUGUUAUAUUGAUUCAAAAUAGGGUUGAGAUUCAGUGGCAAUUAGAUACCAAGAAGUACAAGUGUUUAAUAUAAAAUGCGGGAUUUGGUGGUCGCCACCUCUCGUUCGUGGUUGAUUUGCGGUACAAAGUGGUAUAUUUUAUCUCCGCUCUACAAAUAUGUUAUAUACUAACAGAACAAGUAUAAUAUGGAGGACGGCGAUUCAAUGCACGGGCAUGUGGCCGGUAUCGUGUGCGUUUGAUCCGGUGUGGGGAUUUGGAAAAAUGCUGACGUGGGACAGGUUUUAGCAGUUGAAAAAUCGCGUAUACAUGAGGAGUCGUAGGAACAGUGAUGUAUGGCGGGACCAAACCGUAGGUGGCAGGCGAGAUUAAUGGGGUGGGCGGAGAGAGGCGUCGAGUCCGAAGUUAUAGGCCGUGGCUCAGGAAUGUGAGGAAAAUCAUUGGCAUGGGGACGGAAUGUGCACCUGAUAGGGUCGGGGGUUGUCGAACUUAAUCAAAACGUGGUUUUCCCGUGUGUCCCGUGCACACCACUAAAGCUACAUAAGUUGUUCUUCGAAAAAAAACUAUAUAAGUUGUUCGUUUCGGUUCUUCUUAGAUGAGCUGGGUUUAUUUUUUGCAAAAAGAUCAGAUUUAUUAUAAAGAUUCCCCACAAAGCCGCCUGAUUGUGCGACGCUGCCGAUUUCAUUUGCUGCUAGCAAUGGGGGUGAUUAUGGGGGUGUUGCUGAAACACCUACCCACCCGAAGUGCGGAAGGUUCGAUCGUGUGUGUGCGUGUGGAAGGACCAUUCAAAGAUGAUCCGUUAAAUUUAGAUGAGAUGAUUCCAGUAAUACACUACCACGUUGUUCCAUCGGCGUCCUCCUCAGAUGCACCAAACGAUCAUCGACGUCCUCCUCCGAGGAGGAUCGCCUGGAGCAAUUAAACUAAUAAGUUGGAACUGUCGGGGUCUCUUGGGAACCCCGACGGUUCUUUUGCUUCUGGACAUCCAGAGGUGACAUAAUUCAGAUGCGUUUUUUCUGUCUGAAACGCAUUUGGAUGAGGAUAGGGCAGCUUGAGAAGGAAAAUGAGGAUGGAUUACAAAAUCGUUGCGCCAAGCCUUGAUGGAAGGAAAGGUGGUUUGCUUUUAGUCUGGAAGAAGGAGGUGAGGAUCUACUCCGGGACUACCACUUUUAGUGUCAUCAAUGUGAUGGUGGAGGAAUCAAAUGGAAGAGAAUGAAGGCUUUAGGGAUUGUAUGGGGAGCCGAGUUGGGAUCAUACGUACCAGCUAAUACUUGCAUGCUCAAUCUAAUCUCCUGUGGGUGGUCAUUGGUGAAUUUAAUGAGAUUCUAUUCUCGACAGAAAAGGAGGGAGGUGCGCCACGGAGCAAGCGCUAAGAUGUGCUUCGAAAGGCACAUAAUCUUCAUCUCCUACAGAUAUCUGCAACAUCUGCUGAUUUUAAUUCCCUGAUGUGCAGUUUGGUAAAUCCUACUCAUCUUUGCUAUCUAAAGCUCGGAGUCGUUAAGGUGCAUGAGGGUUUGCCUCAAGUUUGGAGCAAGUUUUGCCAUCUUCAAGUAUUAGAUUCUUUGUCUGGACGCUGCUGCAGAACAGACUUUGGACUGCAAAUCGACUGCUUGUGAGAGGCUGGAUCAUCAGGAUACUUGCUCCACUUGUGAUCAGGUGCUUGAGUCUGCCCACCACCUGAUAUUCGCCAAGCAGGUCUAGACUGCAUACCAAAAUACGAGACCACUGGCAAGCCAGGCAGAGCUGCACUCAACCUCUGUUGGGACUUGGGACCUGGUGGGAGACGAUCCUGCCUCUCAGGGAAAAAGGACAGGGCACUGAUGAUUGCACCUUCUCAGCUUACGUGGCAUGCAUGGAACCUCUGGAAUGAGCGAAAUCGAAGAGUUUUCAGAAAUCAGCAAAAGAACCCUGUGUGUGUUCGAAGAUUAACGAUGAGAUCAGCCUCUUUGAUGAGGCAUGGGAGAGCAAUAGUUUUUUUUUCUUUUGAACUGUACAGCCAGGCAGCUGAGGCAGGCCUUGCUUGUACUGGGUCUUUUAUUCUUUUUUCAGCUUUUCCUAGUAGCUUCACUACUACUGUAAAGUAUUUCCCCCUCCUUAAAUGAAAAGGCAGAGCACCUGCCGUUCCGGUCAAAAAAAAAUGUCAACUGUGUUGGUCAGUGGAUCUAGCUAGAGCCUUACUGCAGAACACAUGGCAGCAUAGGUAUAUUUGUCAUAACCGAGGUUAGCAUCUGUGGCUGCGUGCUGUUUUACUGCCUCGGAAAGUGGUGCUUCGCGGCCUUUUAGGCGCAAUUCCACCAUGGAUCAUGUCAUGCCCAGAGUUUACAUGCUGAAGUUCUGUUAUUAGUUUCUUGGAAAGUAUAAAAAGCUGAUCUUGUGACAGUUUCCUGGGCUGGCACGCUGUCACGUGAGCGCCUCGUCCUCAUGUAAUCCGUUUUGCUUGCCAUAUCCACUGAAAGCACCGAAAACAAAGUGAUACGUUAUUUACUGAAUCUUGUGAACUCAAACUGCAAACUUAAUCUUUUCAUCUCCUUGACUUGAGAAGGAACUCUGUGGGGACUUUGGUAAUCCCUAGUAAGAUAUGCAUUGUGCAGUCUGCAGUUCAUUACAAGAUUGCGUGAAGAAACAUUUGCAAAACUCCCUCGAUAUGAUAGGCCGUGCAGAAUUUCUCUGUAGCUACACUGAUGCACUUGGUAGGCCUGAACUCAUAUGUUGCGGUGUCUUGAACUGAUAUGUCAUACCUUGAUCCGUCAGAGUUCAGGACGCAUUCAGCAGCAGACGCCUAAUCGAUCUCUCCUUAAAUUUGAAUGUGCGACCCUACUGGUUGCUCACUACGUGGUUCUUGUUCAUUGUGCACUAUGCUAUCUUGUCAUCUUAUAUGGAGUUCAUUUCCUGGGGGUGCUUUGGGAUAAUUUUGCUCCAGGCAUGCUGUCCUUCUUCCGGUGAGGUUUGCAAAAACUUGUAGUAAUGACUUUGUGUUCCCCCGUUGUAAUCUUAAUCGUUUGUUUGUCAUGUUCAUGACUUGCUGGCCGCGUUUGGAAGCCCUGUAAGUACCAUAUUAUAGCUCUGAUCUCUUUGGUUUAUCUAUAAGAUUCAACCCAAAUAAACUCUAAACCGGCUAAGUUUCAACCCUCAACCAUGAGAACCGGCUAAUUUUUCUUGUCUCAGCUUGAACCUUCUUGUUCAAUUCUGCUUCUUCUUUCUUCUUGGCAGUUCUCUCCAAUGUAGCCAACCUUCUUCUCUCUGCAAGCUCAGCUUUCCUCUGUGCAACCUCAUGUUUCCUUUUUGCUAUCUCUGCAGCUCUCUUCAAUUCCUCUUCUCUUCUAGAUGCAAGUAUUGCCUUCUUCCUCUCCUCUACUUCCCUAUCUUUCUGAUUCUUCAUGGCCUCCAAUUUCUGUACCAACUCACCUGGCCUUAUGGUGCUUGAACUAGCUUGGCUCCCUUGGCUUCCAUUACUCUGGUUGAGCAGCACUUGGGCAGCAGUAAGGAAAGCAGAAGCAGGUACUGGCCUUUGUUCAACAACCCUUGUUGUUGGCAUCUACGAAGAAUGUACAUUUGAUGAGAAUAAUAGGAUAUUCAUGUACAAAGAAUGUACAUUUGAUGAGGAGAUCAGUAGUACCUGGGCAAUCAUGUUGUCAACCAUGAGAUCACCACAUGCAGGAGCCACAUUUGUAGGAGUCACAUUGGCACCAACAACACCUUCAUUUGGAGGAGUGGCAUUGACAGCAGCAGUACCUUCAUUUGGAGGAGGCACAUUGACACCAGCAUUACCUUCAUUUGGAGGAGGCACAUUUGAAGAUGGUUGAUCAUUUGGUGGAGGCACAUUAGGUGGUGGCAGUCCAGCCUUCAAGGUCUUGCACCCCUUCCUGUUGUGAUCUGCAUCACCACAAAGAACAAUGCAUAAUGACACCAUGCCUUGUGAUUUUCUUCCCUCCCCUCCUAUGAUCAACCUCUCCAGGUGCCUGUCUCCUUGUAGUACAUGGCCUUCCAACAUGCUUCUGGUACAAUGGUGGCAUUAUUGGAGGCCCAUGUAAGUCUUCCCAUUCACUCCUAUCUCUACAAGGAUAGAUAAUAUUGCCAUAUGCUUUCUUGAACACAUGUUUUGAGUAGCAAUGAUCAACCAUGUUCAAAGGAUCAACUCUAUCAUUCCUGCAGCAGGCUACCACAUGAGAGCAUGGAAUGCCUGCUUUCUGCAUUCUUCUACAUGUGCAGGUUUUCUUGUGCAUGUCCACUAUGUAAUCCAUUCCUCUAUCACCUGCUAGGAAUAAGCCAUCUCCUGAUCCCUCCACAUAGCAUGUGUUUGCAAAUUCUGUUACCUUUUCAACCUUCUUCCUGAUCUUUGGACAUACAUCUCCUUGCCAUUUAUCUGACUCCAGCUGUUUGUUGUAAUGCCUUGUCAUAAGUUGCAUGUAAAUCCUGUCAACCAUGAUCAGUAUUGGUAGUUCCCUUGCUUCCAGGAUAUACCUGCAUUUAACAGCAAACCAUGGUAAGUAUUGGUAAUUCACUACAUUGAAAAGCAUUUUGGCAAACUUCACAAAUGUACCUGUUGAAAACUUCACAAAUGUUGUUAAGCAGAAUAUCACAUUUUGGCAAGUCACUUUGAAAAGCCUUAACCCAAGUUUGUGGUUCUAGCUCAUGCAGCCAUUUGUAUGCCUUAACAUUAAGAACCUUCAUCUCCUCCAUGCCCUGUUCAUACAACUGCACUGUAUUGCUCCUAGCUAUCUUCCAGAGUUGAUUCUUCAAGAUGUCACCUUUGAAAUGUUGUUGAAAGUUUUGCCACAUGUGCCUAACACAAUAUCUGUGUUCUGACUCAGGGAACAGUCCUUCAACUGCAUUGAUGAGCCCCUACAAUUGCAAAGCAACAUAACCAUUCAGAAGCUAUUCACAACCAUUCACAUAGUAAUUACACAUAAACUUUGAAAAAAAAGAUGGUACUUACCUUUUGUUUGUCUGACAUGAUAGUCCAAGGUUCAGUGUUUAUGAUGCCUAGGUCCCUUUUGAGUGUGUCAAGAAACCAUGACCAGUUAGGGGUGUCCUUAACUUCAACCACAGCAAUGGCAAUUGGAAAUAUGCAGUUAUUUGGAUCUACCCCAACAGCUGCAAGCAGUUGUCCUCUGUAUCUAGUUUUAAUGUGGCAACCAUCUAGGAAGAUGACUGGUCUACAACCCUCCAGAAAUCCUCUCUUGCAAGCAUAUAGACACAUGUACAACUUGCUGAACCUAGCAUUUUCAUCUAAUGAAACAUAGAAGGAUGAGCCAGGGUUGCUUCUCCUUACCUCAUUAGCAUAAUUCCAUAGCAGCUUGUACUGCCCUUCCUCAUCACCAUAAAUAAUUUUUAUAGCCAUUCUCCUUGCUCUUUGAAGUUUCAUCCUAGUGGGUGUCAUAUGCCAUUCUUUCUGAACAACCCUUGAGAAAUUCAUCAAGUUCAUAUCUUGAUCAGCCCUAAAGCUCUCUAGGUAUUUCAUUGCUAGGAAUCUUGGUGUGAAAGCCCUAAUCUUCCACUUCUUGCUGCAUGUGUGCUCAUGCACAUAUCUCUUCACCAUGAAAGCCUUAGUUCUGCUAUCAUAUGAUGCCCACAAGUACCAUGUGCAGUCUUCAUCACAUUUUGCUUUCACUCUUUUCCUAUCAUUCACAGGAAGCUUGAUAUCAGCUCUGUUCUGGCAGGAGUACUCUUUAAUUGCUUUCUUAGAAGCUCCACACUCUCAAAAACCUGCCCUACAUGGAAUUUUGGCCUAUGAAGAUCCUCUGGUCUGAAAGUUUUGAACUUUAAAUGCAUUUCCUCAUCAUCAGAAUCAGGUGCCCACAAAUCUUCACCUUCAGACAAGUCUUCAUCUGAAUUGUACUGCUGCUUGCUUUUGUCUUCAUCUGUAGGUUUCACAUGCUUGACUUUCUCCUUUGAAUUGUUCUUAUGGUUCUGUUCUGGUUCAUCCUCAUCAACAUUAUCUGCAAACAAGUCAUCAUCAUCAUUUCCUAUCUCAUUGUCACUGUCCACAAGUACACCUGGGUCAUAGUCCUCAUCAUCUGUAUCACUUGCAUCAUCCUCUGCUUCCAUAUCAUGACUGCUUUUGAUCCUCCUACUUGAUGUGCUUCCUCCAACAUCCUCAUUUGCAACAGCUUCUGCAUCUUUCCCUGCUUCAACUUCAGGGUAUACAACCUGGAGAGGAGUAGGUGCUGCCUCUGGUUCUGCCUCUGCUUCCCCUGUUUUUGCAGUCAUGCUGCUGCCCACUCUUUUUGCAGGACUAAAUACUGGAGGCAAAGUGGCUCUAGGAUAGUUCACAACAUCAUCCUCACUUAGGUUUGCUUGUAAGCUCUCAUCAUGAUCAAGAUAUAUACUAAAGGAGUGGUGCCCAAUAUCAAUAAACAUCAACAUUCUAUCUGUUUGCUCAUCAUCACUAAGCUGCUUGAGACCAUUAUUACUGAGUGUAAGGAUGGUUGACACAAUAGUAUACCUUCAACCUCCCUGCCAUCUCAUAACCAAUCUCCUCAACAAGGUGUUCAAUCAUAAUUGGUGACCAAGUGACCUUCUCCAGAUUAUCGUACCAAAUGGCACGACCAUUAACAUAAGCACGAUUACUUCCAUGCCCAACAAAAAAUCCACCAUGGUUGAUUUGCACAGAGAAGUUGGUGCUUCGAGGGCCUGAUACACAAGACAGAAACAUCAUGCAUCAUAAUUGACUCUAGCAUCAUUUCAUUCGAGUUUCUAAAACCCUAACCCCCAAAGACCAUCAAAUCCAAUACCGAAACCAUCGAAACUACCAGCUGCAUACCAUCUAUAAUGACAAUGCGGGCCAAAAAGGAGUGUCUUUGAACAUCAAAAUGCAAAAAAAGUCGGAUUUAUGCAAGAUGAAACUUACUGUACACGGGGGGAGGCGCCCCUUCUGCGCGACGAACAGGGGCCAUCGCCACCACCUACCACCGGUGGAAUUGACGCGGCGGCGGCGCCUCUCCAGCCACGGAAGAAAUCAGCACGCGGCGGCGCCUGUAGGCCGAUGAUCGCCGGGGCGGCGACGCCUAUGCAGCGCCUUCCCUGUCUCCAAUCGAAGACGAAGAGGCGUCGUCAGAUAGAGGAGCGGGGCGGACAGCGGUGGUGUGGUGGGGCGAUUUUACACUUAAUCCCUCGCCGCAAGAUUGGCCUAAUCGGAGCUGAGAACGUGGCGGUCAACAGGUGGUCAAAGGAGCGGCUACUCACCGCAUACGACCAACAGUGACCGUACAUUCACGUCACAUCGUAUAUAGUGACCGUAACAGCCGUAUUUCUAAGUUCAGUGACUGUAUCGGGCUCUCGUCGCAACUACAAUGACCGUGAGUGUAAGACAAUAAGUUUUGGGGGAACCAGCACAACCCUCUAGGGGUGGCUUAUCUCAUUAUAUAUAAUGGAUGUGUUACAAUAUGUACAAUAUACGUACAUAAGUACAGAAGCUAUACAUAGUCUAACACCCUCCCUCAAUCUUAGCCACUUUCUAAAGAACUGAGAAGGGUAAGAUUGCGCCUACAAGCCUCAAACUGUGGCAGAGGUAAAGGCUUAGUGAAGAUGUCUGCAAGUUGAUCCUUAGAUGAGAUAAACUUGAUCUGGAGUUGCUUCUGUGAUACACGUUCCCGUACAAAGUGAUAAUCAACUUCAAUGUGUUUCGUUCGGGCAUGAAAUACUGGAUUUGCAGAAAGGUAUGUAGCACCGAUGUUAUCACACCAAAGAAUAGGAGGCUGUGGUUGAGACAAACCCAACUCCUGAAGCAAAGACUGCACCCAAAUAAUCUCUGUAGUAGCAUUAGCCACAACCUUGUACUCAGCUUCAGUACUGCUACGUGACACAGUAGCCUGUUUCCGAGCACUCCAGGCGAUCAAAUUAGGGCCAAAGAAUACUGCAUAACCCCCCGUGGAUCGCCUGUCAUCUGGGCUACCAGCCCAAUCUGCAUCAGAGAAGGCCGAAAGGACCCGAGAGGAAGUCGGCCGAAUAUGCAUACCAAAUGUCAGGGUGAACUGAACAUAACGAAGAAUGCGUUUAACAGCAGCCCAAUGAGUAUCUCUGGGAGCCUGAAGAUACUGACAAACCCUGUUAACAGCAUAAGAGAUAUCCGGUCUCGUGAUCGUCAAGUACUGAAGUCCACCAACAAUGCUCCUGUACUCUGUGGCAUCCGCAGGAGACAAAAGCUCACCAUCAACAGCUGUUAUCUUGUCGGUAGACGACAUGGGUGUGGUGGUCGGUUUGCACUUCAGCAUGCCCGCUCUUUGUAACAACUCCAAGGAGUACUUCUUCUGCGUAAGGACAAGACCAGUAGCACGAGAAGUGACCUCAACUCCAAGAAAGUAGUGAAGCUUCCCAAGAUCUUUGACCGCAAAAUCAGCACCAAGAGAGCAGACAAGAGCAUCAGCAGCAUACUGAGAAGAGCUGACAAGGAUAAUAUCAUCGACAUAUACCAAAAGAUACAUAGUGACUUCUGGCUUCUGUAGAAGAAAUAAUGAAGUGUCAGCAGUGGACGGCACAAACCCAUGAGCACGAAGGGCAGAGGCAAGGCGGGCAUGCCAGGCACGAGGAGCUUGCUUCAAACCAUAUAGUGCUUUGGAGAGACGACAGAUAUAGUCAGGACGAUCAGGAUCAGAGAAACCAGGCGGUUGUUUCAUAUAAACCUCUUCCUCCAAAAAUCCAUGUAGAAAAGCAUUCUGCACAUCAAGUUGACGAAGUGACCAACCACGAGAAACAGCAAUGGAGAGAAGAAGCCGAAUAGUGGUAGGCUUGACGACAGGACUGAAGGUGUCCUCAUAGUCAAGACCAUGGCGCUGCCGAAAACCGCGAGCAACAAGUCGCGCUUUGUAACGCUCAAUAGAUCCAUCCGAAUGCUUCUUCACUUUGAAUACCCAUUUUGAGUCAAUAACAUUUACCCGUGGUGGUGGAGGAACGAGAGUCCAUGUCUUGUUACGAAGGAGAGCAUCAAACUCCUGCUCCAUAGCCUCUCGCCAAUGUGGAAUGCGCAGGGCAGCCUGAUAUGAGCGAGGCUCAGAAGAUGGAUCCGCAACAGCAGCAGCCAAACAAGCAGCCAACCAAGCAACCGUACCAUCCUUACGUUCCUUAGGUUUGAAAAUGCCACUGCGACUGCGUGUAUGUGGUCGGGACACAGGAACCACCGAGGUCGACGGAGCAGCCUGCAACGGGCUGGAGGACGGCGACGUUGACGAGUCAGCCGGUGACGAGGAGCCAGACACGGUAGCCUCGGGCUCGGUCGGCGAAGAAGGCCGGCCCACCGGCGAAACCGGCAGAGCAGACGAAGCAGUUGGCGACGCCGGCGUCACAGACCGGGCCGAUGGCGAGCCCGGCAUAGUGGGCUGUGGCGCGGCCGGUGUCGCGGGCCGAUCCGCGGAUGAAGGCGACGUGAGGACGGCGUCGCGGACCCGAGCUGCAGGCGAAGACGGCGUGACGGGCCGAGCCGCGGGCGAAGACGGCGUGACAGGCCGAGCCGCUGAAGACUCGGCGGCCGCUGGCGAAGAGGGCCGAGCCGCUGGAUACUCGGCGGUCGCUGGCGUAGCGGACCGAGCAGUGGAGAUGCUCGGCGCGACGGGCUCUUCGGGUGACCAUGCAUGGGCACGCGAAUCGAUGCCAUGCAACAUAGGGCGAUCGACGUGCCCAUCAGAAGGCGGCGAUGAUGAUGGUGAAUCCUCCAACAGCUCCAAACGAGCCCCACGUCCGGUUCCUACACCAUGGUUAGGUAACAGCAAAGGAGAGUAUGCAACAUCAUCAAAUUGGUCAGAAGCAACAGAGGAUGAAUGCAGAGAUGGUGGUUCGAUAGUGGACACAGGAAGUUUGGCAAAGGGAAAAACAUGCUCAUCAAACACGACGUCCCGAGAUAUAUAGACACGAUUAGUGGGAACAUGAAGACAUUUGUAACCUUUAUGAAGAGAGCUAUAGCCAAGAAAAACACACUUCUUAGAACGAAACUCAAGCUUGCGCUUAUUAUAUGGACGAAGAUGCGGCCAGCAAGCACACCCAAAUACCUUGAAAAAGGUAUAAUCAGGUUGUUCAUUAAGGAGAACCUCAAUGGGAGUCUUCAUGUUUAAAACACGAGUGGGAGUACGGUUGAUGAGAAAGCAUGCAGUGGUGAAAGCAUCACUCCAAAACCGAAACGGAAUAGAUGCAUGGGCCAAAAGAGUAAGACCAGCUUCAACAAUAUGACGAUGCUUACGUUCGACUGAACCAUUCUGCUGAUGUGUAUGUGGACAUGCUAAACGAUGAGCUAUCCCAAGCGACUGAAAGAAGGAGUUGAGGUUNNNNNNNNNNNNNNNNNNNNNNNNNNNNNNNNNNNNNNNNNNNNNNNNNNNNNNNNNNNNNNNNACUGGACAUGAACAAUUUUGUGCUUGAGAAGACGUUCAACAUGUUUUUGAAACUGAACAAAAAUAUCAAACGCAUCAGAUUUGCGUUUAAUAAGGUAAAGCCAGGUAAAGCGACUAUAAGCAUCAACGAAACUGAUAUAGUAAUUAUGACCACUGACAGAAGUCUGAGCAGGACCCCAUACAUCUGAAAACACAAGUUCUAAAGGAUGUUUCACCUCACGACUGGACUACGAAAAAGGAAGUUGAUGACUCUUCCCCUGCUGACAAGCAUCACACACUGCUACAUCUUUAUUACUAGACAAACUAGGAAGCUCAUGACGAUGCAAAAUAUGACGGACAAUAGGUGUGGCGGGGUGACCAAGACGAGCAUGCCACUGUGACGGAGAGACCCGAACUCCACUGAAAACACGGGCGACGCCAGGAUGCUCCAGACGGUAGAGGCCCUGGCACAACCGCCCACUAAGAAAAAUGUCCCUCGUGCCCCGAUCCUUAAUAAAAAGAUCAAAAGGGUGAAAUUCACAAAGCACAUUAUUAUCACGUGUGAGUUUAGGAACUGAAAGAAGAUUACGGGUCACAGAUGGAACUCGAAGAACAUUGCGAAGCUGAAGACUCCUAUUGGCAUGUCUAGUGAGAAGAGAUGCUUGACCAAUAUGAGAGAUGUGCAUACCUGCUCCAUUGGCGGUGUGGAUCUUGUCGGAGCCAUGAUAGGGUUCACGAGUGUGAAGCUUCCCCAUCUCGCUGGUCAGAUGCUCUGUCGCCCCAGAGUCCAUGUACCAGUGUGGAUCGAUGGAGUAGGACUGAGUGUGUCCCUGUUGCUUCUGCGGCGCGGGACGAUCAGCCAUGGCGACCUGAUGGGCAUUGUUGCGUGUAUCUUUGCCGUCAUUGCCAAGACCAAGGAAGCUUCGCUGGAAGCGCUUAUGACACUUGGAGGCCCAGUGCCCAUCGCGGCCACAAAGCUGGCACACACGUGGACCGCCAGCCCCCGGUAAGGUCGCAGUAGGUGGGGGGGCCGAGGCGGGCGACGGUGGCAGCCCCAAGGGAGACCGGGGUGAUGAAGAAGAGCGGCCACCCUUGGUGGCGGCGUUGGCCGAGAGGGAGCCAGUGCCCCUGGAGCGGCGUGUCUCGACCCGUUGCUCAGUGAGAAGGAGCCGAGAGAAAACCUCGUGUGCCAGCAUGGGUGUCGAGUUGCCCCGCUCGUUGAUGAUCUCGACUAAGGCAUCAUACUCCUCAUCAAGACCAUUGACAAUAAACGAGUUGAACUCGGAGUCGGUGAGGGGCUGUCCAAUGGAGGCCAAUGUGUCGGCGAGGCCCUUGACCUUGUUGUAGAACUCAGUGGCAGUGGAGUCAAGCUUCUAACACUCUCCAAGCUGACGACGGAGUGCAUAGACACGAGCCUGGGACUGCGCUGCAAAGGUUCGCUCAAGAAUGGUCCAGGCCUCAUGAGACGUCUUCGCGAAGACAACAAGUCCGGCAACUGCCGGCGAGAGCGACCCCUGGAUGGAGGAGAGGUUCGCCUGGUCCUGCCCCGUCCAGACGCGAUGGGCCGGAUUAUAGACCGGACCGUGCACGCUGUCUACCAGUGCGGGUGGGCAGGGAAGCGAUCCGUCGACGUAGCCUAGCAGGUAGUGACUCCCCAAGAGCGGGAGAACCUGCGCACGCCAGAAGAUGUAGUUGUCGGCGGAGAGCUUGAUGGUGAUGAGAUGACCGAAGUGAAACGGCGGCGGCGAAGACGAUCCCAUCGAGGGGGCUGCCUGGGGUGCAAACACCAUGGAGGCAGCCGGAGGCACCGAAGCCGAUGCGGGAGGAGGCGGGACCGCAGCCAGGGCGGACAUCGCAAAGCUCGCGGCCGGGUCGGACACCGCAAGGCCCGCGGCCGGGGCGGACGCCGCCAACCCUGCCAGCGGGGCGGUGUGAUCCGCUUGCGGCAGGAGCGGCGGGACGACGCCCGCGGAGUCCGCAGCGGACGGCGGCGCCGUGGUGUGGACCACGAGGUCGCGCCCAAGCGAGGGCGCCGGCGGCGUGGAGUAGACGGAGCCGAUGCUCCUGGUCCCGAUCGGAGCCGGAACGGCGACGGCAUCGAGCGGGAGGUUGAGCAGAGCCGCAAGAGAGGCCGGGAGGAACCCCGCAGCAGUGGAACCGGUGGUGGCGGCGCUCGACAUGGCGGCGGUGAAGGCGGCGGCGGCUGCGGCUGCGGCGGCGGUGCGGGUAUUAGGGUUUGGAAGCGGAAGCGAUCGUAACCUAGCGUGAUAACAUGUAAGACAAUAAGUUUUGGGGGAACCAGCACAACCCUCUAGGGGUGGCUUAUCUCAUUAUAUAUAAUGGAUGUGUUACAAUAUGUACAAUAUACGUACAUAAGUACAGAAGCUAUACAUAGUCUAACAGUGAGGGUAUUUAUCUCCGAAUUAAAACUCGGGUUGAUUCCAGUGUCCACUGCAUGCAUCGAUCCCCGAUUUGAUCCCCGCACGUCGUUAGUCAUUACUCGAUCGGUUGGUGAUCGACUUUGCAUCGGCUGGUGGUCGAUCGCAUCGUCGUAGGUUCCACGCCGUACAUGCCCUUUGCUAGGGAGCCUACAUAAGUCAGAGCGUAACUGAUUCUCCGUCUUUCAUUUCCGCGAGUGCGGUGCGCCAGCCGGGCAUUAAUAUACCAGUGCAACAAGAGUUGGAGCUCGCAGCGUGGAUUGGCCUGGCUGGUUACCAACUCUUAUAGCAUCUCCAAUGCCGAAUCUCAAAUCGCUCGUCAUCGUCUAGACCGAGCUGUCUAAAGGGCAUUUUGUCAAUCCAACGUGGCACCUCAUCGGUCCAUAGAGUAGUUCAAACGUCUACUUUUCCACAAGCGGACGCAAACCAGGGGCUUUGCGGGCGUCUAGACCGCUGCCACGUACCCGGCCGCCAACCCGGUCCCACCCAAAUCCUCUCCCACGCCCGCACACUCUAACCUGCAAAGCGGUUGCCGCGCAUUCAUGCCGGUCCAGAGUGCCAACGCCUCAUGCAGGCCGGCCUAGAGCGGAUACAACCUCUUACUGCAGCAGCAGUUAUUGAAGCGGCAUGUCAGCAAAAGGCGUUGCCUAUUCUCCGUGCAUGUUCCAAUACCGGAGACGCGUGACCUGGCGGGGCUGGACGACUGUGCACCGCAUUCAAACUGGAUCUCGCUCAUCUUCUUGUCAGCAUUAAACUGGUGCGGCAGCAGAGAAACCUACUCCGGCACCCGUAUUGGAACACCACGCCACGUGUCCCGAAUGGUGUAGCUAUUUAAACGCUGCCUCCUCCCCUUGCACGACCAGCACGACCACACCACGUCAUCCAUGACCACGAGCUGUAGACAUAUGUGGGAGAGCCUCAUGAUGGAGUAGAAGGAAGAGUUGGCCUGCAUUGGGGCCGACCGGGUGGCCCGUCGUGCGCGACAGACUGAGGAUGGCUUGCCAGCUAGCUCGUCGGAGGUUAGCGAAGAGGAGGCGUCUGACGAUGAUCUGAUGCCCUAGCCUGCGUAGUUGCACUUCAAUGUCAUUGUGGCUGAAAAGCAGCCAGUGUCACCUGUCACGGCGUCCCAACAGGAACCGGGGACGGGGCAGCACUACACCCUCUGGCUCCUUGACGAGCACCGGAUCGCGGGGGCGGGGAGGGGAGGCAAAUCAUCGACGAGCAGGCGAAUGACGAUGUCAUCAAGGCAUGGUCACGGAGGAACCGAGCUUCUUGGAUGAGCAGUGGGCGUUGGACAAGUUCAUGCGGGAUUGCAACUGCGUAUCCAGCGGGCGAACAUAUAUGCCUUGUUCACGGAUAUCGACGCGGUGGCAGAGGAAGAGGUUGCGCAGGCAACCGCGGACAUCGCUAGCUCCGCAUCGGCCAUGCCACCACUGCGGUUCGCGCCCCGCCACAAUGACCAAGACCCGACCUUGCACGUCCAGUGCCAUCGAUAUGGCGGACAACGGCAUGGAAAAGUAGAACAUGGAAGGCCACCAUGGCUUGAGUCCCAGGAAGACCACUGCCCACGUCUUGUCGGGGAUCACAACUCGUUAGCUUGUCGGACAUGGUGAAGACUGCCAUGGGAACGGACGCCACUGUGGCUGGCGAUCAUUUAGACUAGGUUAAAAAAGUCUAGUCCGCUAUAGUUUAGUUGAAAUAUGGUGAAAUGUAAUGAUUUUGAUCCGAUUUAGAUGAAAAUCAUCCAGUUUGCAUGAAUGUUAUCUGGUUUAUUCAAAUUCACUUCAAAAAUGUAUGCGGGAACGGUUGGAUAUCCGGCUCCCAUAUCACUUUUUCCGGACGCAUCUGGGCGCGUCGGCAGACGAUUAUUGUGUCCUUUUUAGGGGUUCGCAGUGGAGCUGCCCUUAUGUGGCUUUUAUAUUCGUUCCAAAGGGCCUUUAGAAGGAAAACUAAUGUCUCCAGAGUAAAUGUGCACAGUCAGGUUUCAUAAGCUGUAGCAUCAUUUCCUCUCCUGUUUCUCUCAUUUACUUUGUUGUUUAUAUCGCUCCAUUUAACAUCCAAUUUCAAAGGAAGAUGACACAAACUUUUAGGUGUUGAGCGUCACACAAUUUCACAAAAUUUGCAAUACAUUAAUCUCAAAAUGUCAAACUCAAGUCCAAAUGUGACUACAUAUAACCAUGCAUAGAUAGUUUCCGAAUGUGACAUAGACAUGGAUAGGUUCUAAGACAUACUGCAAAUAUCUAAGGACGCAAUGGGACGACAUAGCAUGGAUUGUGCUCGUCAUAGGAGUAGGAGAAAGAUAUUUCCAUGAUCAUGGCGGCAGCCGCCUGGGCAGCCCUCAUCCGUCCAUCCCGCUUGGCCCAGGCGGCGGUCUCGAAGGUGUAAGGCUCUGUUGUAUCCUUGAGCAUAUGCUCAUGUUUGGCCAAGCGUGGGCCUUAGUGGUGGAAGUGGAGGCCUCUAUCGCCUUCUGGAGCCUCCUCUCCUCUUCGGCCAUGGUCAUGCCAUCCUCAUUGGCCGACUCGACGAGAUUAUCCCAAGUGAUCUCGUCAUGGGAGUCCUGGGGAGGCAGGAGGGCCUGGACAUCAAGGGGAACUGAAAAGUGCACCUAUUGCCUUUAGUAGGUUUUGAUGAUAUAUGAUAGCUUGAUUAACAGUACUAAUGUUUUCUCUCAGUGUUUAUCAUCUUAUGUCCCAAAAGAUGCGAUUUCAUAGUAUUUAGUGAUCGAAUAUCACUUUGGAUCCAAAGACAUGCCAAUAUUAUCAAAGGGGGAUUCAGGUAUGUGUGAUAAAGUUUUUUUUGAAAGUUCUUGAAGAUCGGACUUUGAAAAGGUCAGAAGUCUCAUAAAAUCGAGUAGGAGUGAAAUCGGAUCAGAUUCAGACGGAUAAUGUGCAUGCCAUACCCUAUUCUGUUUUUUGGAUUUGAAAGCAAGACAAAUGUGGUAUGGAUGCAGAUUCGAAUACCGGAUUAUGUUGGAUUCAGACAUGGUACGGUGACAAAUCGGACACAGAUCAGAAACAGACAUACUACAUGCAUAUAUGACGAAUAUAUACAUGCUCUAAACUAAAAUUAUACAUAAAACCAAAGUAAAUAUUAGUAAUUAUACACUUAACACAUAAAGCACUAGAAGGUACUAAAGUAAUCCAAAUAAAAUAUAAGAAGCACAUAUCUAAUGUCAUAAGCAUAUAAAUACAAGUAUUGCUAGUUAAUAUUUAAAACUGUACCAAUUAAUUAUAUAACCAUAUUUAAAAGUUUGGAUUAUCCAUAUAAAAAGGAUUAUCAUAACCAUGGCAUAUUAGUAAGGGCAUCUCCAAAGCGUACCCUCAAACCUCCCCUAUAUGUCCUGGCCACAGUUCUGGAACACUUUUGUCAUCCAAUGGGAACCUAUAUAUGUCCGCUGAGCAGUCCGUACGUACGAAUUCCGGCAUCCUAGUAACAAAUGUGGAGGGGGAGGGGGGUUUGCCGGAGUCCGGACAUGCACUUGACCAACACAAAGCCUCCGGUCUUCCUCUCUUUUCUCUCUAUCUUCACAUGCAUGGCCCCCCUCCCCUCAUUCUCUUCCGAACCAGAUACCACACCACAAUAUCCCAUCAAAAGUAUCUGCAUGCAUGGUAUCCCCUUUUUGUCUCUCCUCCCAACCGGACAAAUAUAGAUUAAUUUGUGAAUAGCGUUGGAUGGCUCACAUGAAAAUCAUAGAUUAACUUUAUCAUAAGCUUUCUCAUACUGAAUUAUAAAAACCAAGCAUCUCUGCUUCGAAGUCAAAAUGGAAUGCACGGUGUUCCUCGUAAUAUUGCGUCUUCAUGGAAAAUGACAACGGUUGGGAAAGGGUGUACUUCGCAAUUGAUUAUAGCUUGAUUCAUACAUAGUAACUUCUUACAAAAAUUGGCAGAAAUAUUACAAACCUUGGUAAAGAAACACCAACACCCACACACUUGUCUGACACACUGACCCCUGACCCUCAUAACACUUAUUCUGAAGUCAUUAUGCAAAUAUUGAAAAACAGGGUAGGGAAUGAUAAAAGGCUAAACCAACCGUGCAUGCGGCGAUCAUAAAUAGCAACGUCACCCAGAGCACGAAACCAUGGGGAUUUCAGUGCUGGCCCGGAAGGUGGUAGAGACUGGAUCACUGGAGUCAGUGGUGUCCAUGGUAUCCACCGCCACCGCCACCGCCGUAGGUGGGCAUGGGAGGGACGGGAUGGUAGUCUGGGUGGGGCUGCGGCUUCGGCUCCGGCUUGGCCGCUUGGGCACGGGGUGGUAGUCCGGGUGAGGCUGGGGCUUGGGCUCCGGCUUCGGUGGCACGGGCUUCUUGUGGUGGAAGUGCUCGAUGAUGUGCUUCUUGAUUGUCCCGCACAGGGUCAUGGACGCACACUCGAGCGACGCCACGGAUGGCGUGGCGGUAUUGGCGCCGGCGAUGACACCGAAGGUGGUGCCCUCGGACACCGGCACGAUCUUGGAUGGCUCCUGGCCAGGGCACGGCGCGUUGGAUGCGGCGCUAUGGAGCUGAGCCAUGCAGUCGGCGCCAUGGAGGUCAGAAGCGAGGGGCACGCUGAAGGCGCCGGUGCCGUCGAGGGCACCCACCGCCUUGCUUGCUCUCGUAGUCGCCGUAGACGUUCUUGCACCUGAUCGCCACCUGGAGACCUGAGGUACGUUGACGGCAGAGGACAACCAUGAGCCGAUCUCCAUCUAUAUAGGUGUGUAUUUCGGGUGUGUAUAUAGUAGUAGUACGAUUGAGCUGCAUAUGUAGCUUACCCUUGAAGGCUUCCUCGGCCUUGAUGUUCUUCCUGGUGCAGUCGGCGCACUUGGCCAGACCGACGACGACGGACGCCGCCUCGGCGUUGGAAACGGCGGUCGCCAGGAGGACGGUGAGGACCAGUGCUCUCGUUGGAGCCGCCAUGUUUUUUUUUAGAAUGAAGGCUCGCGAAGAGCCCGACUUUGAAUUAACAAAACCAUCAACUGGCCAGGAAUUACAGACAAACAACAGACCACAUCGGCCCAACAAUACAAGGGAGCAUUCUAGGGAGCUUACAACUCAACGCCGCGCACAAGCUUGAAAGAAAAAUUAAAACAAAGCCCAUAGCUUGCACUAGCAGAAGACCGCAACAAACAGUACCGAGGGAAGCGACCAUCAAGCAGGAUUGAGGACCUGCUAAAACAGAGUGUGGGCAUGAACUGAACUGACGCCCAGGAUGAAGAGAUCGAAGCAUCUUCCUCCUCUCGUGCCGCCAUGUCUGAACCCGUGAAUCGAACUCAGCUUGCCUGUGUGAAGUGGCUGAUGGAUGAAUGGAUGGAACAGGCGACGCAUGGCUUUUAUAGGCCGCCGCAUUGAUCGGCGCAGCUCGAUGGGUGGUGUGGUGGCCGGCGAAGUGAUGCGUGACAACGAGAGGCCGGCUAACUCACCGAAAUUUCAGAUGGCGAGUUGAAUACCGCGCCGGCUGGAUGAUCGGAUCGGUCGGUGCGUGUGCCUCCACGUCGCUAUUGGUGAUCAACUUGGUUUGGUGGUGGAGUACGUAGGUAGGCACGGGCCGCGUCUCUCGGCAUGCACAUGCAUUUGCGUGAGUGCGUGCAUGCAUGCAUGCAGCGUAAGUUCGUAGUAGUACCCUGUUUGCUGGUGGUAAGCUGGUGUUGGAUCGACAUCAAAAUUGCUGUAAAGUGUAUGUCCAUUUUGGGGAGUAGGGAGCUUGCGGUACAGUACCAGUGAGCACUGCUUUGUUGUUCACAAGUAGAAUGUUGUGAAAAUAUGAGCAGCUUUCAGUUAUGUUUAAUCCACGAAAAAACAGAUAGAAGAUGAUCAACAUAUAGUUGACAUGAUAUUCCAACAAGAGAAGUUGGUAAACAGAACAAAAGAUCGAAGGCUAAUAGUUCAAGUUCACAUGAUCCCAUACAAGGUUAGAUUUGAUCUUACCAACAACAAGUUGCAUCGGAAAAAGAGUUGCUGAAGAUCGUGUUCUUGAAGUCCCACAAACAUAACCCUCGAACUAGAACUGAACAUACAGCCCCUCUAUGGAUCGCACCCUUAGUAUGAAACCAUCGAAUUCGAGGAUGUAGCCAAGUGCUAAUUUCAAAACGGUGUAGUGUUCAUGGUUUGAGAGUUCCAGGUCUACUUGCUACUCGUUCUAUGCCACAAUAUUUUUUGGCGAAAAAUUUAUUUUCAUCUUUUUAUUCCACUUUUUGACAAGCUAGUGAAGCCAAAAAUAACCUAACAUGUUAGGAUUGACAACCUACACUUAACUAUCAAGACUAGUGGGUGUGGAAGACCCUAUAGUCAUUCAAAAGUAACAAGUACACUAGAACUCAACCUAAUUCAUAUCUCCAAUAGAAAUAUUGAACGUUGUAGUAUCAUCAUUCAUCAUUAAGACACGCUGAUCGUAGAUAGAUAGUUCCUCCCAUACUCAUGGGGAGCUUUUUUGCAAUUUACGUAUUAUGCAAACUGAAAAUAAACUAACUCAAUUUUGAGGAAAGUAAACAUAUGAAAACGGUAAAGAUGUAAGGGCUUAUAUAUGAAUCUCCCCAAGCUUAAGCACUAAACCGGCAGGAUCUAAUAAUCCCUCUCAGUCGAUGGUACCUCGGGGUUUCUUCUCCCUUGUAGUGGAAGUGUUGUAUGCAAGGGCCUGAUGGAACAACUCAUUAGUCUUCUCUAGGUCAGCGAUGUGAUGUUGGUUCAUCCGCACAAUUUCCUCUAGGUUGGCAGUGAGGCAGGCGUUGAGAGUGGACUACUGGACUUAGUGUCCUCAACAAUCUUUUUCUCCAACUGCCUGAGAUGUUCAUGCAAAGGAUCACGGUUGAUGGGUGACCCAUUAGCAUGUACCUCAAGCCAACGAAUGUGCUCGUUGAUGUUGAUAGGAUGCGGCUUCCGUGCAUAAUUGGGGUUGACGGGGUACUUCUUCUACCAUGCUCUAGGAAGCUUGACAGAUAUAUGAGCCCCAAUAUUGAUCUUCUUGCCGGUGGUGUGGUGUGACAAGUUUAUUGAUAGGUACCCUCCAACGAUAUAUGGAUGGUAUGGCCAUCCACGACGGUUGGGGUACCCUCCUUGGGGACUUCUUCCUCAGAUGAGCUAUCUCCACCUUGAUCCCACAUUCGCCAAUCAUGCUUGAGACCUCGUCCCAACGCAUCGGGAGAAGCGUCUUCCAGCUCGAAAUCCUCCUCGUGGAAUGGGCUUGAUCCAUGUGGUGGGCAUCCGCCGGCUGCAAAGGCGACCCUCCUCCUCCUGCGAGGUCAUCUGGCAUUCGUCCCAUGAGCGUGUCAUGGCCUAAGAGAUGCUUGCCUUUACAUAAAACUUAAUAUGCAACUGGAAUAGAUUGGUUUGUCAAUGGCUAAAGGAGAGCACUCCCCAAAGGUAUAUAAAGACGUAAACCCGUCAAAUAUUCAUGAGAUUAAUUUUUGGAAGAAGAUUAGGAAAUAACCAAAGAUUUUCGGGAAAGAAUAAGGUGUCGCCGCGCGAUCAGAAGAAAAGAAGUGGCGUGGUACAAGCGAUUGCGCUCAUACCAACAGACCACCGUGUCGGUGCCCUUCGGGCAAUCGCCGCUCUGGCCCACCCAGUACAAGGCACCUAUCUACUUUGCCACCAAUCAAUACGAUCAACCCGGAGUGCAGCAAUCAUCGCAGUACUCAAUUGCAUCCUUCAUCUCCGGCCACCCUCCACUCUACAUCAUCGACCACAACAAUGACUACAUGUUCACCGAGUCGCCGACACUCGUCCAGUUGCGGCUUCCGUCCAAGGAGCCCAUGUCCGACGGUGCCCAAUCACUGUUUGGCGGAAUGCCUCCCCUAAGCUCGAUGGCGGCGACUGAGCAACGAGGCAAUGAUGAACAUGAUCCUUAAUGGUGACGGCCAUGAAGAUGUACAGGUCUAUGAUGACUACUUACCGCAUCCGGAGCAAGAGACGUUGACGGACACCCGGUAGUCAUCGGUGCUCGAUGCGGACAGAAAUAAAAAGAGGGAUUUGGCGUACUCGAACAAGGAGGAUGAAUUAUUUUGUUUGAUGUGGUUAGGCACAAGUGUUGAACCGUUUCAAUGUACGGAGAAAAAGGGCUCGGCAUUUUGGCAAAGUGUGCACGAUUGGUUUCAUGGGAAAAGCAUUAUGAGCCCUACAACAAGGAAGUUGCUAAGCCAACAAUGGUACAUCAUUCAAGGGGCCAUCAACAAAGUAUCACGGUCCGUAUGCACAAAUAGAAAACUAGUGACUAAGUUGUGUGUCAACACUCCUUGAGUUCGUAACUUUUCUUCGUGAUGCUCUAUGUGUUGGUCAUUUGAUUGAUUUUCUCUAUGUUGCAACUUGUUGAUCAUGUCAUUGUAUUGCUUUGCUAGCCCGGACGGGUAGCCAUGUUGUACCACAAGAUUGAGGGCAAGCCAUUCAUGAUGAUGCAUUGUUGGUACAAGUUGAAUGCGCAAAGCAAGUGGAGCAGCAUUACCAAUUCUCUCAAGACCACCAACCCAAAGCAAGUGAUGAAGGUGGUGAUCCAAUCGGUGCAAUUUCUAGGAGGGCUUGCACUAGCCACCCAUGUGGCUAGGUCAACGGGAAAUAAAUGGGUGAAUGAGAAAGGAAGCGAGAAGGAGUGGCGGCCAAGACGACGGGGAAAUUAUAGGACAUCAUGGCGAAGUAAGAAGAGGCAUGUGCCAAGCACAAUGAGAUCAUGGAGGAAAUUGUUCGUGGAAAUCCAAAAGAAGAAGAUUGAGUUUAAGGAUAGGAAGCUUGCGGUCAAGUAAGUGUGUGAGGAGCAAAAGGUCUAGUACAUGGAGGCUGAUGACUUGGAUCACGACGCGGCCAAGCUUGUUCACGACUUGCAUGAUAGCAUGUACACACGCCUUGUGUAAAAGGAGAGGGGAAAGUAGGCCAAAAAUUGAGGCAUUUGAUAUGGACAGCCGGUUCAUUGCUUUUGGGGUCGAUAUAUAGAUGUACAAAACUUAUUGAGUAUCCGAUGAUUUUGCUAUUGGUUACAUUUUUUUGCAACCAUUUAAAUGUAUGAUCGAAUUGUUAUUGCUCUAGAAAAUUUGACAAAGAGAGAAGGCCCGACAAGUACCUAGGACAAAAUUUGAAGGACACAAUUGCAUGACACAUCCGUGAAGGACGCAAUUGCAUGACACAUCCGCCCGGACGGAUGUUGGCGGACAGGGAAAAAUGAAUGUACUUUUUUUUUGCGGUUGAAAAAAAAUGAAUGUACUUGAUUGAUCAAGAUAUAAUGAUCGAGUAACUUUUCAUUACCAAAAUUCACACCGGUAUUACAAACCUUGGGAAAAAAUGGCCCAUGACCCAUACAUUUGCCUGACACCCGUACUUAUCCCUCAGAACUGUUAUUCUGAAUGAUAGAAGACCAAGCUAACCCGUGCACAUAUAAAUAGCAACCUCAUUCACUCACUGACAGCAACAAGCCAUCUCAGUGCUGGGCGGGAGGGUGGCAGAUCGGAGUCAGUGGUGUCCGUGGUAUCCACCGCCACCGCCACCGCCGCCGCCGUAAGUGGGCGUGGGAGGGACGGGGUGAUAGUCCGGGUGGGGCUUCGGCUUGGGUUCGGGCUUGGGCACGGGGCCAUAGUCCGGGUGGGGCUGGGGCUUGGGCUCCGGCUUGGGCGGCACGGGCUUCUUGUGAUGGAAGUGCUCGAUGAUGUGCUUCUUGAUCGGCCCGCACAGGGUUGCGGACGCGCACUCUGGCGAUGCCACCGUGUCUGUCUUGGCGCCGGCGACGACACCGAAGGUGGUGCCCUCAGACACCGGUACGAUCUUGGAUGGCUCCUGGCCCGAGCAUGGCGCGUUGGAGGCGGCGCUGUGGAGCUGUGCAACGCAGUCGGCGCCGUGGAGGUCGGCGGCGAGGGGCACGCUGAAGGCACCGGUGCCGUCGAGGGCACCCACCGCCUUGCUCUCGUAGUCACCAGCGUUGUUCUUGCACUUGAUCGCCACCUGAAGACCUGUUGUACAUUCAUGGCAGAACAACAGUGAGCAGAAUAACAUCAUGCCUUUACAAAGUGGAGUAUUCUAUCAAAUCUAGCUAGCUAGCGCUUACCCUUGAAGGCUUCCUCGGCCUUGAUGUUCUUCAUGGUGCAGUCAGCGCACUUGGCCAGGCCGACGACGACGGACACCGCCUCGGCGUUGGCAACGGCGACCGCCAGCAGGACGGCGAGGACGAGUGCUCUCGGAGCUGCCAUGUCUGAACCUCUACCACUUGCUUGCCUGUGUGAAGUGGCUGAUGGAUGGAUGAAUGGAACAGGCGACGCAUGGCUUAUAUAGGCCUCGACAUUGAUCGAUCCAGCUCGGCCGAUGAUCUGGCUGCAUGCAUGCUCGAAGCACGAAGGGGUGUGGUGGGCGGCGAAGUGAUGCGUGACAAGGAGAGGCCGGCUAACUCGCCGAAAUUUCAGAUGGCAAAGUUAAUACGGCGUCCGCUGCAUGAUCGGAUCGGUCGGUGCAUGUGCGUCCACGUCGCUGUUGGUGAUCGACUUGGUUUGGUGGUGGAGUACGUAGGUAGGCACCGGCCGCGUCUCUCGGCAUGCACAUGCAUUUGCGUGCGUGUGUGCAUGCAGCGUAAGUUCGUAGUAGUAGUACCCUGUUUGCUGGUGUUGGAUCGACAUCACAGAUUGCUGUAAAGUGCAUGUCCAUUUGGGGAAUAGUGAGCUUGCGCUGAACUGCAAAAACGGCUUACAUUAAGUCACAUACUUCCUCCGUCUAGGUGUUAGGUUGUGCACCGUGAUGAAGGCAAAGAGAAAAACGAGAGAACUUAAUAUUUAUUUGAUAAUUAAUAGCAUUGCAUGCAAUAAACUGAACCAUUGCAUGUCGUGUUUGCAAGUCAUUGAAAGCAUACACAUCACACAUCUCUUAUUGCUUGAUUCCUUUAUUUAUGUCGAGAAACAGAAAUAAGGUGAGAGUUAAUGCACCACGCCUAAGUGUUUUGAGAUUAUUUAGUUUUCAUAAGGCUACUCAUAGUGGGGAGCAUCAUAUACUAGUAUCAUGCAUAUGAUACUACCUUCAUAGUGAACAGUAUCAUAGAGUAGUAUCAUAGAUGAUCUUGUUUAUUUCAUGCAUAACACAAAGUAGCAUAACAUUUAAUAUAAUACAAUAUAUAUCUAUGUUAAUCUAGCCCUCUCUCUCUCCUUUAAUUCUCGGCGACAUCAGCGUGUUUGCUAUUCCCAAGUGCAUGAUACUAGCUAAAAUACCACCAUUAUGACCAGCCUAAGAUGACUUGUAUACCUAGACACAGGGAGUAGGGAGUAGAAUGUGUUACAUAUGAGCAGUUUGUAAUUAUGUUUAAUCAAAGAAAAAACAUAUAGAAGAUGAUCAAUAUAGUUUACAUGAUAUUCGAACAAGAGAAGUUUCUUUUUACUCGGUACAGACGCAGACGCUUAUACAUACGCAUAUACACCCACUUCUAUAAACGCAAGGACGCACACCAUACCCCUAUGAGAACCUACGAGAGAUUGAGUUGGCACAUCAUCUUGAGUUUGACGCCAUCGUAGUGAACGGGAACGUCUCCUCGCACUGAACGCUCAUCGUCAAAAGGCCUAAAAUAAAAUCAGGAAAAUGCGAGCACCAAUGUUAAGUCUAGGACUUGAACUCUGGUGGGAUUUGUAUACCACUGUCCUCAUAACCAACCGACCACAGAUUGGUUCGCUCGAACAAGAGAAGUUAGUAAGCAAAACAGACAUGCUAUUCAACGGGUAUGGUAAACAUGGCAUGUACAGAUCAAAUGCUAAUGUAGUAAGGAACUGGAAGUAAUCCCUAAUGCGAAUGAAGAAGAGUUCGCAGUCAGCGCAUCACCGACGGUUGACAUGGCCUGGAGGGAUGGGGAGUCGUGUCCGGGAAGUAGUUUUCAUUGUAUGUCGCAAUGUCGGUCGCAUGAGAUCUCUCCCAGAGAUCAUGAUCUCCUCUCUCGCUCUCUCAUACAUGAUCACAAUAGAUGGGGUACCGGAGUCCUGUUGUUCUACAUUGUGGUGCAUGAAAGUGGAAUGGAAAGACGCGCGGCACAGAUCUGGAACUGAAGAAUGGUCUCAUGUACAUUUCUAUGUGGCCCCAUCUAUUUGCAGAGGAGCAACCUCUAAUAGGCUCUAACAAACGAAACAAGUCCACUAUGGAUGAUUCUGAGAUGAAGAGUCUACAAAUGUUCGGUUUCAUCUUCUACUAGUGCAAAAUAAUGUUUUCAAUCAUGUCACGCACGACAAGAGGAGUGACAGACAUGUGACAGGUCAGAGUCCAGCUCGUUCACGAAACACAAAGCGCGUCAGGCUAGGUGAUGUCAUGCAAAUGCAUAGAGUUUAGUUGUAGUUGUUUUCGGAGUAAGAGUAUUGAUCCCACAAAGAGCUGAGGAAAUGGUAUUUUACCCCUUGUAGAGGUUUAUCCGAAUUUGCCUGCAAGUUAUUUUUAGGUCCCAAGCAAAAGCAGUGUGAAAGGUGAAAUAUUGCAAGAGUGUGUGUGUGUGUGUGUGUGUGUGUGCGCGCGCGCGCGUGUGUGUGUGUGUGUGUGUGUGUGUGUGUGUGUGUGUGUGUGUGAGUGAGUGAGAAAGCAAGAAUUAAAGUGCACAAGAAUAAUGACUAAGAACAAGAGAGUAGUGAUAAUGAUAAAAACUCCAGUAGGGCUAAAAGGCGUUCUAUGGAGUCUAUGGAGUCUGUAUUCACCACUUGUAUUUAUUAUACCUAAUUGUGUAGAAACGCAACCUUUGGUUCAAAUACGUGAUCCAUGUUAUAUAUGUAUUGUGUGGGGAGAGCCAAUAAAAAGAUACGUGCAUAUUAGCGCAGUUCUGUAUCACGCACACCAUCACUGUCGCACCAAUGCAUAUCGGCAGAGUACAAUGGUGAUUGAGAGUCUCUUCAACGAUGUGGAAUAAAACACAUGAGUCUCCGUUGUUCCCUUACCAAUGAUUCGGUAAGGAGAGAGAGAGAGAGUUUUCAUCACUGUUGUACCUCUAACCCCACAUCACAAAGAUAAUAAUAUCCGUCAAGUCCCGAUGGGCUAAAUAUUGUGCAGUCAAUGUUCGCACAAUAUCAUGAAGAACAUUAACACGAUUAUAUAACAAAGAUUGUAUAUAUUAUCGUCAUUAGGAUCAUAUAAAUGCUAGUGCUCCCAUGUGUCCACAAGAACUGAUGAAUUACUCUGACAUAGAGGCACAAGACAUCGACGAGGUGUCCAUGGCAAUGGAAGAUGAAUUGUUAAUGUAACACACGUAUAAAUCUAGACCAGGGUUUGGGAUUACAAGAAGAUGAAUGAGGGAUAUUCAAUGUAAAGUAUGUGGAUGAUGUUGUUGAUGAUGAUGAUGGUUGAUGUUGUGGUCUCGGUGGUCGAAGCUUUGGCGAGGUGGUGCCCUUCUGCUGAUUGGCACUUCGGAUUCCUUUUGGAGAUGAGGUUUUCUGCUUCUAUUCUAUGGUAUGUGAUCUCUCUGUUUGUCACGUCCGAGAUCCGAUUGCACGGGGUGGAAGUACUCCAACAGGGAGAGGUGGCACCGUGCGGUACGACCACUGGUAUGAGCAGUCACGCUUGCACUGUGCGUCGUCUUCUCUACUAGAUAGCUGGGUGCAGCUAGUUUUCCUCCCACAUUCUCGUCUCAUCGUAUAGAAAGUCUUAAUUAUGUCUAAUCAGCAUAUUUUUCACACCAAAAAUAGAUGUUUUACAUUUAGUGUUCAAAAUAUCACGGGAUUUUGAUGAAAUCAAGCAAAAGGGCAAUCACCCGUGAUAAAGUACAGAAAAUUACAUGGUUAUUGAGGCCAAGUUCUGACCCCAGGUGCGGUUGAGCCUCACCUGAUCUAGUCUUGUUCCUUUGGUGUGUUGUCGUGCUCGUGGAUGACUGCUUUGACGAUGCUACCAGUGUUUCCUUUUUGUCUUCAGAAUGUUGGUUAUGUCGUGGCCUGUUAUCUGUGUCGUAAGCACUGUGUAUCCGCCAUCUUAUUUUCUUGCUUGUUGUAAGUGUGCUCGAUGUAAUUACUGAUUGGUUAAUGACUUUGUUAAUUCAAGGUCGGUCUCUCCUUAAACUUUCGCUCUGAAAAAAAAGGAAAUUUUGACAAAGAGAGAAUGUCGGACAAGUAUUUAGGGAGCAAAUUUGAAGGACAUGAUUGGAUAACAUCGGACCGGCCGGAUGUCCGCCGGCAAUUGGCGGCGUCCGUUUGGUGAUCGCUGGGGAAAAUGAGCGUACUUGGUUGAUUCAGAUAUAGGAACUUCUCAUUACAAAAAAUCACACCGAUAUUACAAAGCUUGUAAAAAAACUGACCCAUCACCCGUACAUUUGCCUGACACACAUACUUAUCCCUCACAACUGUUAUUCUGAAUGAUAGAAGAUCAAGCUAACCCGUGACAUAAAUAGCAACGUCGCUCACUCACUGACAGCAACAAGCCAUGAAAUUUCACUGUUGUGUCGGACGGUGGCAGAUCGGAGUCAGUGGUGUCCGUGGUAUCCACCGCCACCACCACCGCCGUAGGUGGGCGUGGGAGGGACCGGGUGGUAGUCCGGGUGGGGAUGCGGCUUGGGCUCGGGCUUGGGCACAGGGUGGUAGUCAGGGUGGCGCUGGGGCUUGGGCUCCGGCUUGGGCGGCACGGGCUUCUUGUGAUGGAAGUGCUCGAUGAUGUGCUUCUUGAUCGGCCCGCACAGGGUCGUGGACGCGCACUCUGGUGAUGCCAGCGCGUUCGUCUUGGCACCGGCGAUGACACCGAAGGUGGUGCCCUCGGACACCGGCACGAUCUUGGAUGGCUCCUGGCCGGAGCACGGCGCGUUGGAGGCGGCGUUGUGGAGCUGCGCGACGCAGUCGGCGCCGUGGAGGUCGGCGGCCAGGGGCACGCUGAAGGCGCCGCUGCCGUCAAGGGCACCUACCGCCUUGCUCUCGUACUCGCCGUCGACGUUCUUGCACUUGAUCGCCACAUGGAGACCUGAGAUACGUUAACAGGAGGAGGAUAACCAUGAGCCGAUCUCCAUCUAUAUAGCAGAAAAAGCUUGUCCUUCAAAUAAAUAUAUCUAGCACCAAGUUAGUGCUAGAUACAUCCAUUUGAGAAAGUUUGGGACCAAGUUUUUUCGGACAGAGGCAGUACACGAUUGAGCUGCAUAUGUAGCUUACCCUUGAAGGCUUUCUCGGUCUUGAUGUUCUUCCUGGUGCAAUCAGCGCAGGCCAGUCCGACGACGACGGACGCCGCCUCGGCGUUGGCAACAGCAACCGCCAGCAUGACGGCGAGGACGAGUGCUCUCGGAGCUGCCAUGUCUGAACCUCUACCACUUGCUUGCCUGUGUUGGAAGGAUGAAUGGAACAGGCGACGCAUGGCUUAUAUAGGCCUCCGCAUUGAUCGGCACAGCUCGAUGGCGAUCUGGCUGCAUGCUCGAAGCUCGAAGGGUGGUGGGCGGCGAAGUGAUGCGUGACAACGAGAGGCUGGCUAACUCACCGAAAUUCUAGAUGGCGAGUUAAUAUAUACGGCGCCCGCUGCAUGAUCGGAUCGGUCGGUGCGUGUGCCUCCACGUCGCGGUUGGUGAUCGACUUAUUUUGGUGGUGGAGUAGCGUAGGUUGGCACCGGCUAAAAAUGCUAAACAUACAAAUAAGUAUACAAGUUUACAAACUCUUUCUAUCUACUAACCAAUCACAAACUUGCUCACCCCUCCCUCCCAACCCUUGAUUUUCAGGGGAUGGGCCGCCUCCCCACUUAGUGACCAAUCAAGUUAACCCUCUUUGUAAAACCUUGUAACUCAUUUGUACGUGUAGCAUUACUGGGCACCGGCCGCCUGUACAUGCAUUUGCUUGCGUGCGUGCAUGCAGCGUAAGUUCUCGUAGUAGUAUUCCCUCUGUUUUUUUAUAGUCUGCAUAUAAGAUCUGGCCAAAGUCAAACUUUGUAAAGUUUGACCAAAUUUAUUUGAAAAAAUAUCAACAUCUACAAUAUUAAAGCUAUAUGAUAUGAAAAUUAAUUUCAUGAUGCAUCUAACAAUAUUGAUUUCAUAUUGUGAGCCAUGGUAUAUUUUUCUAUAAACUUAGUUAAAGUUGAUAAAGUUUGACUUUGAUCAAAUCUUAUAUACAGACUAAAAGAAAACGAAGGGAGUGGUACCAAAAAUGCUACACCUACGUAAUGUUUGCUGGUGGUAAGCUGGUGUUGGAUCGACAUCACAGAAUUGCUGCAAAGUGAGUAGUGAGCUUGUGUGUGAACUGCAAAAACGGCUUACAUCAAGUUACAUAGGGACUAGAAUGUUACAUAUGAGCAGUUUCUAAUUAUGUUUAAUCGAAGAAAACAUGGAUAUAAGAUGAUCAAUAUAGUUAACAUGAUAUUCGAACAAGAGAAGUUUUUUUUUAAACACAUUAUAGACGCAGGCGGUAGUACAUACGCACAUACACUCGCUCAUAUAAAUAUGCACACAUGCACACCCUACCCCUAUGAGCACCUGAGAGACUGAGCCGGCACAUCAUCUUGAGUUUGACGCUAUCGUAGUUGACGGGACGUCUCGUCUCACUGAACGCACAUAGUCAGAUGACCUAAAAUAAAUUCAGAAAAAUGCGAGCACGUGUUAAGUCUAGGACUUGAACUCUGAUGGGCUGGGGAUACCACUAUUCUCAUAACCAUCCGACCACAAGUUGGUUCGCUCGAACAAGAGAAGUUGUUAAGCAAAAAAGACAUGCUAUUUGAUGUGUAUGGUAUACAUGGCAUGUCCAGAUCGAAUACUAAUAUAGUAAGGAACCGGAAGUAAUCGUUAAUGGAGGGGGAAAAUAAUGUAUGAUGUGGCAGAUGAAGAAGCGUUAGCAGUCAGCGCACCGCGAAUGGUGGAAAUGGCGUGGAGGGAUGGGGAGUCGUCGUCGGGGAAGUAGUCUUCGUUGUAUGCCUCAAUGUCGGUAGAGCUCUCCCUAAAAAUCCUGAUCUCCUCUCUCUCAUACAUGAUCACAAUAGAAGGUUCCGAAGUCCUAUUGUUCCACGUCAUGGUGCAUGAGGAAAAGUGGAAUGGGAAAGACGUAAGGGGCGCAAAGAUCUUGAACUGAAGGAUGUUCUCAUGCACGUUUCUAUGUAACCCCAUCUAUGGAUAGAGGAGCAAUCUCUAAUAGACUAACAACCGAAACCGGUCCACUAUGGAAGAGUUGGAGAUGAAGAGUCUACAAAUGUUCAGUUUAAUCCUUCUACUAGUGCAUAAUGUUUCGAAUCCUGUCACGCACGACAAGAGGAGUGACACACAUGUGACAUAGGUCAUAGUUCAGCUCGUUCACGAAACACAAAGCGCGUCAGGCGAGGUGAUGUCAUGCAAAUGCAUAGAGUUUAGUUGUAGCUGUUUUUGAAGUAAGAGUAUUGAUCGAUCCCACAAGAGCUGAGAAAAUGGUCUUUUGCCCCUUAUAGAGGUUUAUCCGAAUUUGCCUGCAAAUUAUUUUACGUCCCAAGCAAAAGCGGUGUGAAAGGUGAAAUAUUGCAAGAGUGUGUGUAUGUGUGAAAGCGAGAAUUAAAGUGCACACAAACAAUGACUAAGAAUAAGAGAGUAAUGAUAAUGAUGAAAACUCCAAUAGGGCCAAAAGGCAUUCUCAUAUAGUCUGUAUGUACCACAUGUAUUUAUUAUACUUAAUUGUGUAGAAACACAACCUUUGGUUCAAAUACUUGAUCCAUGUUAUAUAUGUAUUGCGCGGGGAGAGCCAAUAAAAGCUAUUGGCAUAUUACCGAUGUUCUAUAUCACGCACGUCAUCACCAUCCCUCCAAUGCAUAUCGGCAGAGUACGAUGGUGAUUAAGGGUCUCUCCGGGGAUGCGGAUUAAAACACUUGAGUAUUUGUUGUUUCCUUGCCAAUGAUUUGGUAAGGAGAGAGAUAGCUUCUAUCACUGUUGUACCUCUAACCCCUCAUCACAAAGAUAUAAUAUCCAUCAAAUCCUGAUGGGCUAAAUAUUGUGCAGUCGAUGUUGGCACAAUAUCAUGAAGAACAUUAACACAAUUAUAUAACAAAGAUUGCAUAUAUUAUUGUCAUUAGGAUCAUAUAAAUACUAGGGUUCCCCAUAUCCACAAGAAUUGGUAAAUUACUCAGGCAUAGAGGCACGAGACAUCGUCGAGGUGUCCAUGGCAAUGGAAGAUGAAUUAUUAAUGUAACACACGUAUAAAUCUAGACUAGGGUUUGGGAAUACAACAAGAUGAAUGAGGGAUAGUCAAUUUUGAGUAUGUGGAUGAUAUUGCUAAUGAUGAUGGCUGAUGUCAUGGCCUCGGUGGUCGAAGCUUUGGCGAGGUGGUGCCCUUCUACUAAUUCGCACUUCGGAUCCCUUCUGGGGAUGAGGUUUUCUACUUCUAUUUCAUGGUCUGUGAUAUCUCUGUUAGGCACGUCUGAGAUCCCAUUGCACGGGGUGGAAGUUGUCCACCGGGUGGAGGUGGCGCCGUGCGGUAUGAACAGUCGCGCUCGUAUUGUGCGUCGUCUUCUCUCCUAGAUAGCUGGUCGUGGCUAGUUUUCCUCCCACAUUCUCGUCUCUUCGUAUAGAAGUCUUUAUGACGUCUAAUCAGCAUAUUAUUCACACCAAAAAUAGAUGUUUUACAUUUAGUGGUCAAUAUCCUGGGAUCUUGAUGACAUCAAGCGAAAGGGAAAGCAACUGUGAUAAAGUGCAAAAAAUUAUGUGGUUAUUGAGGCCAAGUUCUCGCCCCAAGUGCGGUUGAGCCUCGCCCUUGAUCUAGCGUGUAAUGGUGGAUGACUGCUUCAACGAUGCUAGUGGUGUUUCUUUUCUACUCCCUCCGUUCCUAAAUAUUUGUCUUUCUAGAGAUUUUGACAAGUGACUACAUACGGAGCAAAAUGAGUGAAUCUACACUAAAAUAUGUCUAUAUACAUCAGUAUGUGGUAGUCCAUUUGAAAUCUUCAGAAAGACAAAUAUUUAGAAACGAGGGGAGUAUGAGAGUGCUGGUUAUGUCGUGACCUGUUAGCUAUGUGUAAGCACUGUGUAUCUGCCAUUUUAUUUUCUUGCUUGUUGUAAGUGUGGUCGAUGUAAUUGCUGACUGAUUAAUGGCUCCAGACUUUUCUUAAACCUUCAUUAAAAGAAGAGUAAAUUUGACAAAGAGAGAAUGUCGGACAAGUACUUAGUAGCAAAUUUGAAGGACAUGAUUGGAUGACGUCCGCCCGGCCGGAUGUCCGCGGACAUUUGGUGGCGUCCAUUUGGUGAUAGCCGGGAAAAAAGAGUGUACUCCCUCCGUCUAGAUGAGCAAGUCAUCUUAGAUUGUGCACCGUGACCAAGGAGGAGGAGAAAACGAGAGAACUUAAUGUUCAUUUGUUAAUUAAUAGCAUUGCAUGCAAUGAACUAAUCACUGCAUGUCGUGUUUGGUAAUCUCAAGUCAUUAAAAGCAUGCACACCCCACAUCUCUUAUUGGUUGAUAUGUCAAGAAACAAGAAACAAGGUAGAAUUUAAUGCACCGCGCCUAACUGUUUUGGGAUUAUUUGGUUUCGUAAGAUGACUUACACACCUAGACGGAGGGAGUACUUGGUUCAUUCAGAUAUAUAGCGACUUCCCAUUACAAAAAAUCACACCGAUAUUACAAACCUUGUAAAAAAACUGACCAUCACCCGUACAUUUGCCUGACACACAUACUUAUCCCUCACAACUCUUAUUCUGAAUGAUAGAAGAUCAAGCUAACCCCUGACAUAAAUAGCAACGUCGCUCACUGACAGCAACAAGCCAUGAAAUUUCACUGCUAGGCCGGAUGGUGGUAGAUCGGAGUCACUAGUGGUGUCCAUGGUAUCCACCACCGCCGCCGCCGCCGCCGUAG
Molecule: long non-coding RNA, 33674 nt
Filed under: Triticum aestivum (bread wheat)
Lineage: Eukaryota; Viridiplantae; Streptophyta; Magnoliopsida; Poales; Poaceae
Description: long non-coding RNA (TAES_LNC021802)
Source: RNAcentral